This 279-nucleotide long non-coding RNA is filed under the name Lathyrus oleraceus (garden pea). RNAcentral's name for it is "Pisum sativum (pea) long non-coding RNA (PSAT_LNC013507)". The record is from RNAcentral. Lineage: Eukaryota; Viridiplantae; Streptophyta; Magnoliopsida; Fabales; Fabaceae.
UAAAACUCAUAAGAACCUCACUCGGGAGGUGGGAACCGCAACAUGAUUUGUUGCAUCAUGCCUUGGACAUCAUCCAAGACUACUCUUUGUCUUGUUUGCUCCUUCUUCAUGAGCUUUUUAUUAACUAGAAGAAAAAAAACUAAAACAACAAGAAAAUAAAUUAGUGAAAAAAACAUGGGUUGCCUCCCACAAAGAGCUUUAUUUAAGGUCAUUUAGCUCGACAAUUGAUGAGUGCAAGCCCUCAUGGUGGCUCCCUCAAAAAAUAAUUCCUCAACUUCA